Molecule: transfer RNA, 85 nt
Filed under: Candidatus Omnitrophota bacterium
Lineage: Bacteria; Pseudomonadati; Candidatus Omnitrophota
Also listed under: 1 other name
Description: Candidatus Omnitrophica bacterium tRNA-Leu
Rfam family: tRNA
About the family: Transfer RNA (tRNA) molecules are approximately 80 nucleotides in length.
Source: RNAcentral
GCCGGGGUGGCGGAAUUGGCAUACGCGCCGGUCUCAAAAACCGGUCCUGCUCGUCGGGAUGCGGGUUCGACUCCCGCCCUCGGCA